UAAGCAUAUCAAUAAGCGGAGGAAAAGAAACCAACAGGGAUUGCCCCAGUAACGGCGAGUGAAGCGGCAACAGCUCAAAUUUGAAAUCUGGCCCCUCCGGGUCCGAGUUGUAAUUUGUAGAGGAUGCUUUUGGUGAGGUGCCGCCCGAGUUCCCUGGAACGGGACGCCACAGAGGGUGAGAGCCCCGUCUGGCUGGCCACCGAGCCUCUGUAAAGCUCCUUCGACGAGUCGAGUAGUUUGGGAAUGCUGCUCAAAAUGGGAGGUAUAUGUCUUCUAAAGCUAAAUAUUGGCCAGAGACCGAUAGCGCACAAGUAGAGUGAUCGAAAGAUGAAAAGCACCUUGAAAAGAGGGUUAAACAGUACGUGAAAUUGUUGAAAGGGAAGCGCUUGUGACCAGACUUGGGCGCGGCGGAUCAUCCGGGGUUCUCUCCGGUGCACUUCGCCGCGUUCAGGCCAGCAUCAGUUCGUCGCGGGGGAAAAAGGCUUCGGGAACGUGGCUCCUCCGGGAGUGUUAUAGCCCGUUGCAUAAUACCCUGCGGUGGACUGAGGACCGCGCAUCUGCAAGGAUGCUGGCGUAAUGG
RNAcentral lists this ribosomal RNA (580 nucleotides) under Trichoderma viride. Its description in RNAcentral is "eukaryotic LSU rRNA". It matches the Rfam family "Eukaryotic large subunit ribosomal RNA", at positions 35 to 637 of the family's 3401-position model. The record is from RNAcentral. Lineage: Eukaryota; Fungi; Ascomycota; Sordariomycetes; Hypocreales; Hypocreaceae.